This 47-nucleotide non-coding RNA is filed under the name Cinara cedri. It matches the Rfam family "Histone 3' UTR stem-loop". Rfam says of the family: The mRNAs of metazoan histone genes lack a poly-A tail. 3' end processing occurs at a site between a highly conserved stem-loop (modelled by this family) and a purine rich region around 20 nts downstream (the histone downstream element, or HDE). The record is from RNAcentral. Lineage: Eukaryota; Metazoa; Arthropoda; Insecta; Hemiptera; Aphididae.
GAAACGGCCCUUUUCAGGGCCACCAGAUUUUAACGGUGAAUUGUUAU